Molecule: ribosomal RNA, 450 nt
Filed under: uncultured Glomeromycotina
Lineage: Eukaryota; Fungi; Glomeromycota
Description: SSU rRNA
Rfam family: Eukaryotic small subunit ribosomal RNA
Source: RNAcentral
AGCAGCCGCGGUAAUUCCAGCUCCAAUAGCGUAUAUUAAAGUUGUUGCAGUUAAAAAGCUCGUAGUUGAAUUUCGGGGUUAGUAGGUUGGUCAUGCCUCUGGUAUGUACUGGUCUCACUGAUUCCUCCUUCCUGAUGAGCCGUAAUGCCAUUAAUUUGGUGUUGCAGGGAAUCUGGACUGUUACUUUGAAAAAAUUAGAGUGUUUAAAGCAGGCUAACGCCUGAAUACAUUAGCAUGGAAUAAUGAAAUAGGACGUUCGAUCCUAUUUUGUUGGUUUCUAGGAUUGACGUAAUGAUUAAUAGGGAUAGUUGGGGGCAUUAGUAUUCAAUUGUCAGAGGUGAAAUUCUUGGAUUUAUUGAAGACUAACUACUGCGAAAGCAUUUGCCAAGGAUGUUUUCAUUAAUCAAGAACGAAAGUUAGGGGAUCGAAGACGAUCAGAUACCGUCGUAG